GUGUGGCUCAGUGGUAGAGCGCUUGCCUAGUACAGGACGCAUGAGGCCCUGAGUUCCAUCCUCAGCAC
Molecule: transfer RNA, 68 nt
Filed under: Cavia porcellus (domestic guinea pig)
Lineage: Eukaryota; Metazoa; Chordata; Mammalia; Rodentia; Caviidae
Rfam family: tRNA
About the family: Transfer RNA (tRNA) molecules are approximately 80 nucleotides in length. Their secondary structure includes four short double-helical elements and three loops (D, anti-codon, and T loops). Further hydrogen bonds mediate the characteristic L-shaped molecular structure. tRNAs have two regions of fundamental functional importance: the anti-codon, which is responsible for specific mRNA codon recognition, and the 3' end, to which the tRNAs corresponding amino acid is attached (by aminoacyl-tRNA synthetases). tRNAs cope with the degeneracy of the genetic code in two manners: having more than one tRNA (with a specific anti-codon) for a particular amino acid; and 'wobble' base-pairing, i.e. permitting non-standard base-pairing at the 3rd anti-codon position.
Source: Rfam by way of RNAcentral